This 301-nucleotide ribosomal RNA is filed under the name uncultured bacterium. RNAcentral's name for it is "partial 16S ribosomal RNA". It matches the Rfam family "Bacterial small subunit ribosomal RNA", at positions 509 to 807 of the family's 1533-position model. The record is from RNAcentral.
CAGUAGCCGCGGGAAUACGUAGGGUGCGAGCGUUGUCCGGAAUUACUGGGCGUAAAGAGCUCGUAGGCGGUUUGUCGCGUCGUCUGUGAAAUUCUGCAGCUUAACUGUAGGCGUGCAGGCGAUACGGGCAGACUUGAGUACUACAGGGGAGACUGGAAUUCCUGGUGUAGCGGUGAAAUGCGCAGAUAUCAGGAGGAACACCGGUGGCGAAGGCGGGUCUCUGGGUAGUAACUGACGCUGAGGAGCGAAAGCGUGGGUAGCGAACAGGAUUAGAUACCCCUGUAGUCCCUGUCUCUUAUAC